GGCUUGGUGAACCCUCAAAAAGGCUGUCAAACACCCAGAGGCCUUGGGGAUCAGGAAGGAGCUAUCAUGUGGUCUUUCAUCUAAGAGAGAAUUGUCCUGCCUGAUGGGCUUCAAACCACCAGAACAUCAGUUCUUCCUGGUUCUGCAGUAGUCUCCAACCUUCAGACUCAAACUUCAGCACCUGUUCUUCAGAUUUUGGACUUGCAGCCUCUAUAAUCACAUGAGCCAAUUCCUUAUAUAAAUUUAUUUAUACAUGCUGACAGUUGGUUCUGUUUCUCUGGAUAACCCUGACUGUUAGAGCUGUUACCUCAAAUUUGUUUUCUUAUAUUUGGUGUCUGUUUUGGAGUACUUACAAGUGCUUAAAAUGUUCUUUUUCAAUUAGGUGAGUCUCAGUCUCUAAGAUAAUUUUUUUAUUGUUCUAUUUUAUAGAUUACAUGUUAAUGUCAAUUAAGCUAUAAACAUUUUAUUGCUGAUACAUUAUCAAAAUGCUUUUCAAACAGCCAUUUCCAACAGUCUAUUCUUUGGCAAAAAAACAAUGCCAUUCUCUUGCCAUGGCCAAAUGUGAGUGCUACUAACAGGUAAACUCUUAAUUUGUAAGUGAGGCUGAAAUCUUAAAAUGCCUUCCUGAAACUUAUACAUGAUUGAUUUUGUUUAUUUGUGUAAUUUCUUUGUUCUAUGGUUUCAGCUUCAAUUGCUGAGAAAAUGUCAAGAUUAUUUCCUGAGAAUUUCCUUUGUGGCUAAGACAAAGGAGAAGUUUUAAUUUUACUAGAAACUGUGAAACGAGGCUUUUAAAAAGUUUCAUUAAAAAAAAAAUUAGGGAAGAAUAGGCAUAUUCAGAAAACCUACUUUCAUUUAGGCUGGAUUGG
Molecule: long non-coding RNA, 866 nt
Organism: Homo sapiens (human)
Lineage: Eukaryota; Metazoa; Chordata; Mammalia; Primates; Hominidae
Source: Ensembl